AUUGAACGCUGGCGGCAGGCUUAACACAUGCAAGUCGAGCGGGGUGAUGGUGCUUGCACUAUCACUUAGCGGCGGACGGGUGAGUAAUGCUUAGGAAUCUGCCUAUUAGUGGGGGACAACAUCUCGAAAGGGAUGCUAAUACCGCAUACGUCCUACGGGAGAAAGCAGGGGAUCACUUGUGACCUUGCGCUAAUAGAUGAGCCUAAGGCGGAUUAGCUAGUUGGUGGGGUAAAGGCCUACCAAGGCGACGAUCUGUAGCGGGUCUGAGGGGAUGAUCCGCCACACUGGGACUGAGACACGGCCCAGACUCCUACGGGAGGCAGCAGUGGGGAAUAUUGGACAAUGGGGGGAACCCCGAUCCAGCCAUGCCGCGUGUGUGAAGAAGGCCUUAUGGUUGUAAAGCACUUUAAGCGAGGAGGAGGCUCUUUUGGUUAAUACCCAAGAUGAGUGGACGUUACUCGCAGAAUAAGCACCGGCUAACUCUGUGCCAGCAGCCGCCGUAA
This 503-nucleotide ribosomal RNA is filed under the name uncultured bacterium. Its description in RNAcentral is "partial 16S ribosomal RNA". It matches the Rfam family "Bacterial small subunit ribosomal RNA", at positions 30 to 523 of the family's 1533-position model. The record is from RNAcentral.